RNAcentral lists this ribosomal RNA (468 nucleotides) under uncultured bacterium. RNAcentral's name for it is "partial 16S ribosomal RNA". It matches the Rfam family "Bacterial small subunit ribosomal RNA", at positions 28 to 507 of the family's 1533-position model. The record is from RNAcentral.
GACGAACGCUGGCGGCGUGCUUAACACAUGCAAGUCGAACGGAAAGGCCCUGCUUUCGUGGGGUGCUCGAGUGGCGAACGGGUGAGUAACACGUGAGUAACCUGCCCUUGACUUUGGGAUAACUUCAGGAAACUGGGGCUAAUACCGUAUAGGAGCUCCUGCUGCAUGGUGGGGGUGGGAAAUUUUCGGCGGUUGGGGAUGGACUCGCGGCUUAUCAGCUUGUUGGUGGGGUAGUGGCUUACCAAGGCUUGGACGGGUCGCCGGCCUGAGAGGGUGACCGGCCACAUUGGGACUGAGAUACGGACCAGACUCCUACGGGGGGCAGCAGUGGGGAAUAUUGCCCAAUGGGCGGAAGCCUGAUGAAACAACGCCGCGUGCGGGAUGACGGCCUUCGGGUUGUAAAACGCUUCAGCCUGUGACGACGCGUGAGUGACGGUAAUGGGUAAAGAAGCACCGGCUAACUACGUG